Molecule: non-coding RNA, 45 nt
Filed under: Schistosoma mattheei
Lineage: Eukaryota; Metazoa; Platyhelminthes; Trematoda; Strigeidida; Schistosomatidae
Source: RNAcentral
AUGUAGCUGAAGAGUCUUCGAUAGGACGAAACGCACGUCCUGGAU